CACUUAGAUGUCCUGGGCCGCACGCGCGUUACACUGAUGCAUUCAACGAGCUUAUAACCUUGGCCGAGAGGCCUGGGCAAUCUUGUUAACGUGCAUCGUGAUAGGGAUAGAUUAUUGAAAUUAUUAAUCUUGAACGAGGAAUUCCUAGUAAACGCAGAUCAUCAAUCUGCAUUGAUUACGUCCCUGCCCUUUGUACACACCGCCCGUCGCACCUACCGAUUGGAUGGUCCGGUGAAGCCUCGGGAUUGUGGUUCUUGCCGCUUUAUUGUGGCGUGACCGCGAGAACUUGUCUAAACCUUAUCAUCUAGAGGAAGGUGAAGUCGUAACA
This 328-nucleotide ribosomal RNA is filed under the name uncultured eukaryote. RNAcentral describes it as "partial 18S ribosomal RNA". It matches the Rfam family "Eukaryotic small subunit ribosomal RNA", at positions 1470 to 1796 of the family's 1831-position model. The record is from RNAcentral.